This 631-nucleotide ribosomal RNA is filed under the name Acarospora sp. RNAcentral's name for it is "partial large subunit ribosomal RNA". It matches the Rfam family "Eukaryotic large subunit ribosomal RNA", at positions 22 to 668 of the family's 3401-position model. Lineage: Eukaryota; Fungi; Ascomycota; Lecanoromycetes; Acarosporales; Acarosporaceae. The record is from RNAcentral.
UACCCGCUGAACUUAAGCAUAUCAAUAAGCGGAGGAAAAGAAACCAACAGGGAUUGCCUCAGUAACGGCGAGUGAAGCGGCAACAGCUCAAAUUUGAAAUCUGGCUCUUUCAGGGUCCGAGUUGUAAUUUGUAGAGGAUGCUUCGGGUACGGCUCCGGUCUAAGUUCCUUGGAACAGGACGUCGCAGAGGGUGAGAAUCCCGUACGUGACCGGCCUCCACGCCCGUGUGAAGCUCCUUCGACGAGUCGAGUUGUUUGGGAAUGCAGCUCAAAAUGGGUGGUAAAUUUCAUCUAAAGCUAAAUAUUGGCCAGAGACCGAUAGCGCACAAGUAGAGUGAUCGAAAGAUGAAAAGCACUUUGGAAAGAGAGUCAAACAGUACGUGAAAUUGUUGAAAGGGAAGCGCUUGCAACCAGACUUGCCCGCGGGUGAUCAGCCGGUAUUUUUACCGGUGCACUCGCCCGUGGUCAGGCCAGCAUCGGUUUGGGCGGCUGGAUAAAGUCCCCCGGAAUGUAGCUCCUUUCGGGGAGUGUUAUAGCCGGAGGUGCAAUGCAGCCCGCCCGGACCGAGGACCGCGCUUCGGCUCGGAUGCUGGCGUAAUGGUUGUAAGCGACCCGUCUUGAACCACGGACCA